Molecule: ribosomal RNA, 254 nt
Filed under: uncultured bacterium
Lineage: Bacteria
Description: partial 16S ribosomal RNA
Rfam family: Bacterial small subunit ribosomal RNA
Source: RNAcentral
GACGUAGGGCGCGAGCGUUGUCCGGAUUUAUUGGGCGUAAAGAGCUCGUAGGCGGCUUGUCGCGUCUGCCGUGAAAAUUCGAGGCUCAACCUCGAACUUGCGGUGGGUACGGGCAGACUAGAGUGUGGUAGGGGGAGACUGGAAUUCCUGGUGUAGCGGUGAAAUGCGCAGAUAUCAGGAGGAACACCGAUGGCGAAGGCAGGUCUCUGGGCCACUACUGACGCUGAGAAGCGAAAGCAUGGGGAGCGAACAGG